RNAcentral lists this ribosomal RNA (470 nucleotides) under uncultured bacterium. Its description in RNAcentral is "bacterial SSU rRNA". It matches the Rfam family "Bacterial small subunit ribosomal RNA", at positions 333 to 793 of the family's 1533-position model. The record is from RNAcentral.
CGACUCCUACGGGGAGGCAGCAGUGGGGAAUAUUGCACAAUGGGGGAAACCCUGAUGCAGCCAUGCCGCGUGUGUGAAGAAGGCCUUCGGGUUGUAAAGCACUUUCAGUAGGGAGGAAGGUAGUGUAGUUAACACCUGCAUUAUUUGACGUUACCUACAGAAGAAGCACCGGCUAACUCCGUGCCAGCAGCCGCGGUAAUACGGAGGGUGCGAGCGUUAAUCGGAAUUACUGGGCGUAAAGCGCAUGCAGGCGGCCUGUUAAGUCAGAUGUGAAAGCCCGGGGCUUAACCUCGGAAUUGCAUUUGAAACUGGCAGGCUAGAGUCUUGUAGAGGGGGGUAGGAAUUUCAGGUGUAGCGGUGAAAUGCGUAGAGAUCUGAAGGAAUACCAGUGGCGAAGGCGGCCCCCUGGACAAAGACUGACGCUCAGAUGCGAAAGCGUGGGGAGCAAACAGGAUUAGAUACCCUGGUAG